AGUAGUUCUCAGCUGUGAUGCAACAAAGCAUUUCAAAACCUCUAGCUGAAUGCUAAGACAAAGGCUUCUCAUUGUGUGAAAGCUGAAGGAUCUCUCCCUGCAUUCCCUUCAUGGGCAUCUCUAGGCUACUUGGCCUCAUGGAUGCUUCAGGCUCUCCAGUGGCUUCAGAGAUCCCUAGUUUCCAGCAUUCCCCCUCCUGCUGCAUGUCUCAGUCUAACUGGUCAUUGAUAGUGGCAGGAGACAGACAAAUUCCUAGGCCGACAGGGUUGGGUUCCUGGUGAAACCCAGCCUUCAAAUCAAAGACAAUUUAAAGCCUGAAAACCGACCUGCUGAUUCCAGAUAGAGUCUACAACCAGAGACACGGCUUUACCUCCUUCUCCAGAGGAUGCAACAAUAAGGCACCAUCUUGGAAGCAGAAAGCAGCCCUCACCAGACACCAAAUCUGCCAGCACCUUGAUCUUGGAUUUCCCAGACUCCAGAACUAUGUGGUCUUUCAUUUCCUCGGCAGAAUACUCCUGGCAUGAUCUUUAAGGAAUGAAAUGUUGUCUACCAACCUCGGCUGAGUGUACACAGUUCUGGGAAAAGGUGCAUCUUAGACUAAUCUGAUUUAGUAAGUGAAUAUAAAAUGCUCCCCAGGACACCUUGCUAGUAAAGACUCCAACUAAGAUUAGAGUAUGAAUUAAUAGAGCCAAGAAUGGACAUUGGAGUGGGAAUUUA
Molecule: long non-coding RNA, 717 nt
Organism: Homo sapiens (human)
Lineage: Eukaryota; Metazoa; Chordata; Mammalia; Primates; Hominidae
Exons: 5
Source: RefSeq, a predicted model, not a curated record